UACCAGCACCCCGAGUGGUCGGGACGAUUAUUGGGCCUAAAGGCAUCCGUAGCCGGUCCUACAAGUCUUCCGUUAAAUCCACCUGCUCAACAGAUGGGCUGCGGAAGAUACUAUAGGGCUAGGAGGCGGGAGAGGCAAGCGGUACUCAGUGGGUAGGGGUAAAAUCCUCUGAUCCAUUGAAGACCACCAGUGGCGAAGGCGGCUUGCCAGAACGCGCUCGACGGUGAGGGAUGAAAGCUGGGGGAGCAAACCGG
This 254-nucleotide ribosomal RNA is filed under the name uncultured bacterium. Its description in RNAcentral is "partial 16S ribosomal RNA". It matches the Rfam family "Archaeal small subunit ribosomal RNA", at positions 474 to 727 of the family's 1478-position model. The record is from RNAcentral.